UACAGAGGUCCCAAGCGUUGUUCGGAUUCACUGGGCGUAAAGGGUGCGUAGGUGGUCGGGUAAGUCUGAUGUGAAAUCUCCGAGCUCAACUCGGAAAUGGCAUUGGAUACUACUUGGCUAGAGAGUCGGAGGGGGGACUGGAAUUCUCGGUGUAGCAGUGAAAUGCGUAGAUAUCGAGAGGAACACCAGUGGCGAAGGCGAGUCCCUGGACGACUUCUGACACUGAGGCACGAAAGCUAGGGGAGCAAACAGG
This 253-nucleotide ribosomal RNA is filed under the name uncultured bacterium. Its description in RNAcentral is "partial 16S ribosomal RNA". It matches the Rfam family "Bacterial small subunit ribosomal RNA", at positions 524 to 776 of the family's 1533-position model. The record is from RNAcentral.